Non-coding RNA from Thamnophis sirtalis, 1030 nucleotides. Lineage: Eukaryota; Metazoa; Chordata; Lepidosauria; Squamata; Natricidae. The record is from RefSeq and is a predicted model, not a curated record.
UAUGGUAGAAAAAGUGUUGAGAAACACUGCCUUAAAAUGACAUAGCAGGCAAUCAGUAUUAUAAUUUAUUGAAAUUUAUCUUAGAUCUACAUUUAUUUUAAAGCAGUGCACACUAAACUUUUUCUACCCUAACUUAUGACCAGUUCUUAAUUAGGAGGGGAAAAAAAUCCUCUUGCUUUAGAUUUAUGGCUGCAUAGAGCCUAAUAAAGUGUGUGAAAUAAAGUCAGAGUGGUUUUUACUUAAAAAUUUACAUCUUGCAAAAUGUAAGAGCACCUACGUGAAAAUUAAUAGAAAGACUCUUAAGAUGGCUGAUUUACUGUAACUUUGCUUUUAUUUUUUUACCGGGACAAUGGGAAAUGUCAAUUUGUAGUUGAUGGGAAGGAAAAAGGAAAACUUUUAGUUGUGAAAGUGGUAAAUUAAAACAAUAGAUUUGUGCAGUAUUUUUGAAUAUCAUACAGGAAAUAUAUUAUUUUGACAAUGUGUGGUUUAGGGAAAAGUUUGCCAUUGUUCAAUGUUUUAAUCCGUGCUAACAAAGAUGCAUAUUUUUGUAGAGAAUAUAAUAUGUAUGCUAUUCUCCGAACAAAAGCUUCUCUAUAUUGUAGAAAUUAACUAUCAAUAUUUAUCGGAACUUCAAAAGCUUCUAAGCCAAACAGGUUAGGAACAGCAACACUGCAAGCAGUGUGGACAAACUAAUUAUAGAUGGCACAACUAUAUUUUCAGUUUAAUUGAUCUCCAAAGGCACAAUCCAGUCUGUCACAAGAGCUUUGGGUCCAUGGGAAAUGAUUCAGCACAGGCCCCACAAAACCUCCACGUGAUUUCUUACCUUCAUUUCCAGGCACAUAAAGAUAUUUGCACAGAAUCCAAUUAAGACAGUUAAACAAGCAUGAAUUCUUCCCCCUCACACCUUCCUCUUUUCUCUGCUUCAGCUAAUAAAGGAAUAGGAAUGUGGUGGUGAUUUAUUACUGCUUGUGCUAGCGUAUCCUCGGUUAACUGGUUUUUUUCUAAGAGUAAUGGGAGUUGGCUUAAUCUU